UUCCGGUUGAUCCCGCCGGACCUGACUGCUAUCGGAUUGAUACUAAGCCAUGCGAGUCAUUGUAGUAAUACAAGGCAGACGGCUCAGUAACGCGUAGUCAACCUACCCUAUGGACGGGAAUAACCUCGGGAAACUGAGUAUAAUGCCCGAUAGAACACUAUACCUGGAAUGGUUUGUGUUCCAAAUGAUUUAUCGCCGUAGGAUGGGACUGCGGCCUAUCAAUUUGUUGGUGAGGUAAUGGCCCACCAAGACUAUUACAGGUACGGGCUCUGAGAGGAGUAGCCCGGAGAUGGGUACUGAGACACGGACCCAGGCCCUAUGGGGCGCAGCAGGCGAGAAAACUUUGCAAUGUGCGAAAGCACGACAAGGUUAAUCCGAGUGGUUUGUGCUAAACGAACCUUUUGACAGUCCUAGAAACACUGUUGAAUAAGGGGUGGGCAAGUUCUGGUGUCAGCCGCCGCGGUAAAACCAGCACCUCAAGUGGUCAGGAUGAUUAUUGGGCCUAAAGCAUCCGUAGCCGGCUCUGUAAGUUUUCGGUUAAAUCUGUAUGCUCAACAUACAGGCUGCCGGGAAUACUGCAGAGCUAGGGAGUGGGAGAGGUAGACGGUACUCGGUAGGAAGGGGUAAAAUCCUUUGAUCUAUUGAUGACCACCUGUGGCGAAGGCGGUCUACCAGAACACGUCCGACGGUGAGGGAUGAAAGCUGGGGGAGCAAACCGGAUUAGAUACCCGGGUAGUCCCAGCUGUAAACUAUGCAAACUCAGUGAUGCAUUGGCUUGUGGCCAAUGCAGUGCUGCAGGGAAGCCGUUAAGUUUGCCGCCUGGGAAGUACGUACGCAAGUAUGAAACUUAAAGGAAUUGGCGGGGCAGCAC
Molecule: ribosomal RNA, 871 nt
Filed under: uncultured archaeon
Lineage: Archaea
Description: bacterial SSU rRNA
Rfam family: Archaeal small subunit ribosomal RNA
Source: RNAcentral